AGGACUAACGCUGGCGGCGUGCCUAACACAUGCAAGUCGAGCGGGGUAGCAAUACCCAGCGGCAGACGGGUGAGUAACGCGUGGUCAACCUUCCGUUGAAUGGGGGAUAACUAGCCGAAAGGUUAGCUAAUACCGCAUACGAUCUUUUGAAGGCAUCUUUAAAAGAUGAAAGGAGCAAUUCGUUCAACGACGGGACCGCGUCCCAUUAGCUAGAUGGUGGGGUAAUGGCCUACCAUGGCAACGAUGGGUAGCUGGUUUGAGAGAGCGACCAGCCACACUGGGACUGAGAAACGGCCCAGACUCCUACGGGAGGCAGCAGUGAGGAAUUUUCCGCAAUGGGCGAAAGCCUGACGGAGCGACGCCGCGUGUGGGAAGAAGGCCUUCGGGUCGUAAACCACUGUCGAAGGGGACGAUAAUGACGGUACCUUGGAGGAAGCCCGGCUACUACGUGCCAGCAGCCGC
RNAcentral lists this ribosomal RNA (462 nucleotides) under uncultured bacterium. RNAcentral's name for it is "SSU rRNA". It matches the Rfam family "Bacterial small subunit ribosomal RNA", at positions 26 to 518 of the family's 1533-position model. The record is from RNAcentral.